Molecule: long non-coding RNA, 179 nt
Organism: Xenia sp. Carnegie-2017
Lineage: Eukaryota; Metazoa; Cnidaria; Anthozoa; Malacalcyonacea; Xeniidae
Exons: 2
Source: RefSeq, a predicted model, not a curated record
UGUCUGAUGAAACUACACAUCCUUCAGAAAUGCUGAAGUGUCUUUUAUUUUGCUAGGGUCGUUGUACAAAAAAUAAACCAUUAUUUUACAAAGGAAUGAUUGUUGUACCAGAUAAUAUCACUAUGAAAAAAGUUCCAAGUAUUGAAGGAAUGAUGGUUUAUCGUAAAGACAAAAAUAAA